Molecule: ribosomal RNA, 253 nt
Filed under: uncultured bacterium
Lineage: Bacteria
Description: partial 16S ribosomal RNA
Rfam family: Bacterial small subunit ribosomal RNA
Source: RNAcentral
UACGAAGGGGGCUAGCGUUGUUCGGAAUUACUGGGCGUAAAGCGCACGUAGGCGGAUAUUUAAGUCAGGAGUGAAAUCCCGGGGCUCAACCCCGGAACUGCCUUUGAUACUGGGUAUCUCGAGUCCGAGAGAGGUGAGUGGAAUUCCGAGUGUAGAGGUGAAAUUCGUAGAUAUUCGGAGGAACACCAGUGGCGAAGGCGGCUCACUGGCUCGGUACUGACGCUGAGGUGCGAAAGCGUGGGGAGCAAACAGG